This 255-nucleotide ribosomal RNA is filed under the name uncultured bacterium. Its description in RNAcentral is "partial 16S ribosomal RNA". It matches the Rfam family "Bacterial small subunit ribosomal RNA", at positions 524 to 776 of the family's 1533-position model. The record is from RNAcentral.
UACAGAGGUCUCAAGCGUUUGUUCGGAUUCAUUGGGCGUAAAGGGUGCGUAGGCGGCGCGGUAAGUCGGGUGUGAAAUCUUGGAGCUUAACUCCGAAACUGCAUUCGAUACUGCCGUGCUUGAGGACUGGAGAGGAGACUGGAAUUUACGGUGUAGCGGUGAAAUGCGUAGAUAUCGUAAGGAAGACCAGUGGCGAAGGCGGGGUCUCUGGACAGUUCCUGACGUGAGGCACGAAGGCCAGGGGGAGCAAACGGG